CGCACGGGUGAGUAACGCGUAGAUAAUCUGCCUAUAGCAGGGGGAUAACCAUUGGAAACGGUGGCUAAUACUCCAUGAUGCAGCGGCCCCGCAUGGGGACAGUUGUUAAAGCUUUCGGGCGGCUAUAGAUGAGUCUGCGUGCCAUUAGUUAGUUGGUAGGGUAACGGCCUACCAAGGCGAUGAUGGCUAGGGGGUCUGAGAGGAUGAUCCCCCACACUGGCACUGAGACACGGGCCAGACUCCUACGGGAGGCAGCAGUGAGGAAUCUUGCGCAAUGGGGGGAACCCUGACGCAGCCACGCCGCGUGCCGGAAGACGGCCCUAUGGGUUGUAAACGGCUUUUGUUUGGGAAGAAAGUGCAGGUUUCGACCAGCAUUGACGGUACCAUUUGAAUCAGCACCGGCUAACUCCGUGCCAGCAGCCGCGGUAAUACGGAGGGUGCAAGCGUUGUCCGGAAUCAUUGGGUGUAAAGGGUGCGUAGGCUGGCUUUUAAGUCAGGGGUGAAAUCUUGCCGCUUAACGGUAAAAUGGCCUUUGAUACUGGAAGUCUUGAAUCUGACAGAGGUCGGUGGAAUUCGUAGUGUAGCGGUGAAAUGCAUAGAUAUUACGAAGAACAUCAGUGGCGAAGGCGGCCGGCUGGGUCAGUAUUGACGCUGAGGCACGAGAGCGUGGGGAGCGAACAGGAUUAGAUACCCUGGUAGUCCACGCUGUAAACGAUGUAUGCUAGUUGUUGGGCUUUUGGGCUCAGUGACGCAGUUAACGCAGUAAGCAUACCACCUGGGGAGUACGUUCGCAAGAAUGAAACUCAAAGGAAUUGACGGGGGCCCGCACAAGCGGUGGAGCAUGUGGCUUAAUUCGAUGCAACGCGAAGAACCUUACC
Molecule: ribosomal RNA, 878 nt
Filed under: uncultured bacterium
Lineage: Bacteria
Description: bacterial SSU rRNA
Rfam family: Bacterial small subunit ribosomal RNA
Source: RNAcentral